UCUCUGCGAUCAAACAAGGCCAAAGGAGGGGGAAACCCUAGUUCAAAGAAUCAAGUGAAUCAAUCCAAAUUCAUGAGCCAAUCUGAUGCAUGUUCUCUAAAUUGUGAUUAGCUAACCCUAAUCUCUUAAGUGGCGUAAAAGAAGAAGGUACAAGCACUAAGCAAGCGGAAGGAGUACAAGAUCGAGGCGUAAAAGAAGAAGGUACAAGCACUAAGCAAGCGGAAGGAGUACAAGAUCGAGGUAAAGCACCUCUUUAGGCGAUUUGGAGAUAUGGGACGAGCACAUGUUCAAGCCUUAUGAUACCAAGCGCUUCCGCAACUUAUAUGCAUGCUUUUGGGUCGUGUUUAUUACUUGUUAAACUUGUUGAAAUGUUUUAGAAUUGAAAACUUGUCGUUUUUGUUGGGAUGGUUUUAUGUUAAAUGGGUCGUAGUGUAAACGUUGUAAGUUAUGUCAAAACAGGGGGUAUGCUCGUUUUACAAACGGGUCAU
Molecule: long non-coding RNA, 488 nt
Organism: Helianthus annuus (common sunflower)
Lineage: Eukaryota; Viridiplantae; Streptophyta; Magnoliopsida; Asterales; Asteraceae
Exons: 4
Source: RefSeq, a predicted model, not a curated record